GGCGGCAGGCCUAACACAUGCAAGUCGAGCGGUAACAGAAAGAAAGCUUGCUUUCUUUGCUGACGAGCGGCGGACGGGUGAGUAAUGCCUGGGAAUAUGCCUUAGUGUGGGGGAUAACUAUUGGAAACGAUAGCUAAUACCGCAUAACGUCUUCGGACCAAAGAGGGGGACCUUCGGGCCUCUCGCGCUAAGAUUAGCCCAGGUGGGAUUAGCUAGUUGGUGAGGUAAAGGCUCACCAAGGCAACGAUCCCUAGCUGGUCUGAGAGGAUGACCAGCCACACUGGAACUGAGACACGGUCCAGACUCCUACGGGAGGCAGCAGUGGGGAAUAUUGCACAAUGGGCGCAAGCCUGAUGCAGCCAUGCCGCGUGUGUGAAGAAGGCCUUAGGGUUGUAAAGCACUUUCAGCAGUGAGGAAAGGGGUGUCGUUAAUAGCUGCAGUGCUUGACGUUAGCGACAGAAGAAGCACCGGCUAACUCCGUG
This 482-nucleotide ribosomal RNA is filed under the name uncultured bacterium. RNAcentral describes it as "bacterial SSU rRNA". It matches the Rfam family "Bacterial small subunit ribosomal RNA", at positions 38 to 507 of the family's 1533-position model. The record is from RNAcentral.